Molecule: small RNA, 173 nt
Filed under: Arabidopsis thaliana (thale cress)
Lineage: Eukaryota; Viridiplantae; Streptophyta; Magnoliopsida; Brassicales; Brassicaceae
Description: ATSL140450
Source: RNAcentral
AGGUAUAAAAGGAAAUCUCAUCUUGGUAAAAAGACAGCUAUAUCUUAUUAUAUAAAGUAUGGAUUUCAAAGUUGCUAACUCAUAUAAUUGUUACACAUGUCAAGUCAAACGAUCAGAUGUUUACAUGUGUCAUUCAAAAUUUAACUUUUUUAUUCUCUAAAAAAAAUUGAAAA